CCAACUGACUAGGUAUCCCCCCUUUCCAACUGACUAGGUAUCCCCCCUUUCCAACUGACUAGGUCUCCCCCCUUUCCAACUGACUAGGUAUCCCCGAUUUCGAACUGACUAGUUAUCCCCCUUUACAACUGACGAGGUAUCCCCCUUUCCCUUUCCAACUGACUAGGUAUCCCCCCUCUCCCUUUCCAACUGACUAGGUAUCCCGCCAUUCCAACUGACUAGGUAUCCCCCCUUUCCAACUGACUAGGUAUCCCCCCUUUCCAACUGACUAGGUAUCCCCCCUUUCCAACUGACUAGGUAUCCCCCCUUUCCAACUGACUAGGUAUCCCCCCCUUUCCAACUGAAUAGGUAUCCCCCCCUUUCCAACUGACUAGAUAUCCCCCCUUUCCAACUGACUAGGUAUCCCCCGUUUCCAAAUGACUAGGUAUCCCCCCUUUCCAACUGACUAGGUAUCCCC
This 457-nucleotide long non-coding RNA is filed under the name Salmo salar (Atlantic salmon). RNAcentral's name for it is "lncRNA (ENSSSAG00000110772.1)". Lineage: Eukaryota; Metazoa; Chordata; Actinopteri; Salmoniformes; Salmonidae. The record is from RNAcentral.